RNAcentral lists this ribosomal RNA (253 nucleotides) under uncultured bacterium. RNAcentral describes it as "partial 16S ribosomal RNA". It matches the Rfam family "Bacterial small subunit ribosomal RNA", at positions 524 to 776 of the family's 1533-position model. The record is from RNAcentral.
UACGUAGGUGGCAAGCGUUGUCCGGAUUUACUGGGUGUAAAGGGCGUGUAGCCGGGCUGACAAGUCAGAUGUGAAAUUCCGGGGCUCAACCCCGGACCUGCAUUUGAAACUGUUGGUCUCGAGUAUCGGAGAGGCAGGCGGAAUUCCUAGUGUAGCGGUGAAAUGUGUAGAUAUUAGGAGGAACACCAGUGGCGAAGGCGGCCUGCUGGACGACAACUGACGGUGAGGCGCGAAAGCGUGGGGAGCAAACAGG